RNAcentral lists this ribosomal RNA (305 nucleotides) under uncultured bacterium. RNAcentral's name for it is "bacterial SSU rRNA". It matches the Rfam family "Bacterial small subunit ribosomal RNA", at positions 337 to 635 of the family's 1533-position model. The record is from RNAcentral.
UCCUACGGGGGGCAGCAGUAGGGAAUUUUCGUCGAUGGGCGCAAGCCUGAACGAGCAAUGCCGCGUGAACGAGGAAGGUCUUCGGAUCGUAAAGUUCUGUUGAAGGGGAAAAAGAGCGGAGAGAGGAAAUGGUCUCCGAUUGAUAUUACCCUUCGAGGAAGUCACGGCUAACUACGUGCCAGCAGCCGCGGUAAUACGUAGGUGGCGAGCGUUAUCCGGAAUGAUUGGGCGUAAAGGGUGCGUAGGCGGCCUGCUAAGUCUGGAGUGAAAGGUACCGGCUCAACCGGUACAGGCUCUGGAAACUG